AGGGAAAUAGCUCAGUGGUAGAGCACAUGCUUAGCAUGCAUGAGGUCCUGGGUUCAACCACCAGUACCUCCA
This 72-nucleotide transfer RNA is filed under the name Camelus bactrianus (Bactrian camel). It matches the Rfam family "tRNA". Rfam says of the family: Transfer RNA (tRNA) molecules are approximately 80 nucleotides in length. Their secondary structure includes four short double-helical elements and three loops (D, anti-codon, and T loops). The record is from Rfam by way of RNAcentral. Lineage: Eukaryota; Metazoa; Chordata; Mammalia; Artiodactyla; Camelidae. RNAcentral also lists the same sequence under 2 other names.